ACCUCUUCCCUUCCGGAAGUGGGAACUGCGAGAGUGAGGUCGAACCUCGCUCCUUGCAGCGGCUCUGUUAGCUCUCAGUGUUUUCUUUGACGUUCUCCUGCGUCAUUGCACCCUCAUAUUGACAAGAGGGUGCUCCACCCGGUACUCCUGGGCUGGGGCCAAAAUGCAGGCCACUGAAAUAGUCAUCGAAGUAUGAGGGCAAGGAUUCGCUGUGGUUAUUGGAGUGGCAUCUGAAGCCCCACUGUCUGGAAUCGAAUCCUGUUUUCACCGCGUCUUUUGGUUAACAUUACAUGGUGACCAGAUAGGACCUGAAGGAGAUGAACCCCUGAGAAGUAAUGACCCCUGGAACUCUGUGAUAUACCCAUAGUGUCCCUCGUGCUCUCCACUUCCAUGAGCCAUCAUUUUCCUUUUGGUUUGGAAUAGACUCUUGGAUCCAUGAGUCACACCUAAAAAAAGCACAAAACCUUGACUGGACCUGCACACCAACUGAUGACCUGAAAAUAAAGAUUUCCAGGAGUUGAAGCAGAUGAUAACUGAAGGAGACAGCUUUCCAAAGAUGACCGGAUCAGACCUGUGUACCUUUUUCUCAUUGUUGCUUCUUAUUUCGUCCCUUUCCUUCUUGGCACCAUCUGAUGUAAAAGGGAGAAACCUUUCUGACUGUUCGAUCUGUCCCCAGAAACUCUGAUCUGUUCAUGAUAUUGGAGAUCCCUUAGUCUUCCUUAUUUAAAUACUGUUUGUUCCCCUGUACUCAUGGGAAAUACAAAUAAGCUAUCUUGUCUGCAAGAACUUUGGAAAAGAUUCUUCAAGCUAGAAUGGUGCCUUGGAAAUGUCUGUUCCUCAUCUUAAUCAUUUUUAAGCUUUAUACCUGUUGCCUGUCAAACCUUUGUAGCAAUGACUUGCUUGGUAGUGUGAUGCACUUUGACCUUUAUAAGCACCUCCAACACUUACGUCAGAUGGAAAAUGCCUGAGAGCUCUCCCUCCUACCCUUCCUUGUUACUCAAAUGUGGCUUCAACAGUUUCUAAUCUAGGUACUGUUCCUCUGAUGUGGAACAUGACAACCAGGAAAGGGCUUUCUGGCACCAAGGGACAAAACCACUAAAUAUCAAAAAACCUUGACUCUUGAUCAGCAACCUUUUCAAGAAAAGAUCUUGGUCAAAAGAGGGGAAUGUGAACAUAAAUAAAGGAAAUUGCAUUGAAAUGGAGUUGGGAAGCCUUGAGUGGGGAGUGUGCAUUCACUGUCACUUCUCAUAAGAAGCGUACGUUGUAUUCCCUGGCAGGAAGAAGCUUGCUUUAUACACCCCAGCUGGAGGAGGGAAGAAUUUCUCCUGGCCAGCAACAGCACAGCUAAUGAGAACUCAGCAAAACAGCCCUCCUAAUUUCUUCCUUUCCCCUGUGAAGGCAAGCCCUUCUCCUCUGUUCUCCAGAGUGCCUAUGGUUUGCCAGCCUCCUCCUUUUCUAUUCCCAAACAGAUGCAUUUCACCGGUGAAAUAAUUGGUUCUUUUGUUUUUUAAGGGCAGCAGAAGCAGAAACCAUCUGAGGUUUCUGGUAGCAGACUGAAGGGUUCUGAAAAACUACGGUUUGCUGGGAAGAGAAGUGGUGUCUGGGGCAUCAGGGUAGUUGGUGAGAGCAGGCUGUAGGAGAGAGGAAAGAUCUUGCUUACUACCUGCUUCCCAUUACCCCAUUCCUUUAAGCGCUCAGAAUGUUAAUUGACCUGGUGGCCUUUAUGUAAAACAUUAGUGUGCAAACUUCUCCCAGCAGAAACGUGGGCAAAAUUACAGUUGACCCUUGAACAACAUGAGGGUUAAGGGCAGUCAAAAAUCUGGACAUAACUUUUGACUCCCCCAAAAUUUAACUAUUAAUAGCCUACUGUGGACCAGAAGCCAUACUGAUAACAAAGUUGAUUAAUAUGUUUUGUAUAUGUGCUAUAUACUGUACUUUUACAAUAAAGUAAGCUAGAGAAAAAUUUUUUUAAAAUUGUCAUGCAUCUCCAAAACAUUUUCUAGUAUAUUUAUUGAAAAAUCCACAUAUAAGUGGACCCACACAGUUCAAACCAAUGUUGUUCAAGGGUCAACUGUGUAGUGAAUUGUGCUUGUAUUUUUAUUGCAGUGGGGAAGCUUUGGGUUUCUUUCCAAGUUUCACCCCUUUGUGUCCUGCAUGUGGCUAUUACCAGUUAAGUGGGACCAGUGGCCAGAGGUCUGGACUUCCCAUCAUUUGCUGCCCCUUUCACCCUUUGCCUGAAAUACAAAUAGGUUGGGAGACCACAAAGGCCCCAGGCUCUCUGGGAGGAGACCAUCAUGGUUUCAGAAAGAAUAGGCCAAAGCCAGCUCAUUUAACCACUAGAUGUGAUUAAAUAAUAAUAAUGUGUGAGCACUCAAAAUCAUACCAGACUCUUCUUGGAUGACUUUGUCAUAGUGUUUAGUUUUUCUAACAACCUGGUAAGAUAGAUCCUUAUUAUCCCCAUUGUACAGUUGAGGAAAUGGAAUUAAUUAAAUUACCUGGGUCACUCAAGCUAGUAUGUUGCAUAUCUAGGGUUUGAUGGAUUUAAAAUUCCAUCUACCUGACCCUAAACACCAUUCCUAAUCUGUGUGCUUUAUCUGAAGCACGCAGGGCUAUAUGGUUUUCCUGAAUCUUUUUCUUGCAUUGAAUGUCUUAUUAGAUUUCACCAUUUGAAAUUCCAUCCCUUGAAUCAUGAAGGCUUUGCCUACCCAAAUUCCCUUUUCAAAAGGUAUCUGUCCAAAGGAGCAGCAGUGGCUUAAGCAUAUCAGGUAACAUUUGAGUGGAGGAAAAUGGGCUCUCAGCUAAGUCCCCCACAAAGGACAUGGGCAAUUAAUUCAGUUUCCUCAAGUUAAUGAGUUUUGGAGAAUCAGGGACACUAAAGGUCCAAAGAAAGAUUGGAUCAAGUAUAAAUUUUAUAUUGGUACUCUCAGAGGUUUGCUACCAUUUAGAAAGCCAACCCUUUGGGGCCUAAUCUAUUGUUUUUGCAUCCAGAUGACAUUAUUAGCACAUAAUAUAAACAAUACAUUAUAAUGCUCAGAGGCUCCUGACUCAACCUUCUGUAGCCGUUCUUGCCUCCUUCAUAGUUACCAUUAUUUCUCAGGAUUACAGGAAGAUUCAAUCAUAUUCAUAUAUCCUGAGGGAGUUUUUCACCCAGCAGACUGAGACAGCAUACUGUCACAGGCCCUUUGAUAUUCUGGUUUCACUGUACAUUUUAAUAGGUACUCGUUUAGAUUAAUCAACAAUCUGUAAGAUGUAACAAUAUUGUUGAGUGUACAUUAUAUUCCAGACACUGUAGUAAUAAGCACUUUCCAUGCAUGAUUUCAUUAAAAUCUCAUGAGUCUGAGAACAAAUUUAUCCCAGAAAGACCAACUUGUUCAAAGUCACACACACACAUAAAUAGCAGAGCAAAGAUUUAGGUCCAGUUUAACUCCAGAGCCUCAUAACCAUGCAUGGUGGUAAAUGUAGUUGGAUAAUAACAUGUGAUCUAAAUAUAGUCAUAGAGGCUCUGAGAAAAGAUGGUAGGGUAUUUACUGGUCAACAAUGUGGUCUGUACCACUGUUGCUUAGAGCUCAUUCCUGGAGGGGUAACUCUCAAUGAAAUAGCACAUUUAUAAUAAUAAUAAUACAUAUAACUGAAUAACAA
Long non-coding RNA from Manis javanica (Malayan pangolin), 3639 nucleotides. RefSeq lists it as uncharacterized. NCBI's taxonomy places the organism in Eukaryota, Metazoa, Chordata, Mammalia, Pholidota, Manidae. The record is from RefSeq and is a predicted model, not a curated record.